AAGUCGUAACAAGGUUUCCGUAGGUGAACCUGCGGAAGGAUCAUUAACAAAUCUACAACACACCCUGUGUAAACGUUUGCGUUCCCUCGUGCGCUCGGCGUGGCGUUCGCGCACCGCCUUGCCGCCGAGGGAGCCGUGACCCAUACCAUUGAUUGGCAGCCUUAGAUGAUACAUCAUAAAAGCAAACAACUUUUAACAAUGGAUCUCUUGGCUCUU
RNAcentral lists this unclassified non-coding RNA (216 nucleotides) under Phylloporus sp. RNAcentral describes it as "partial contains small subunit ribosomal RNA, internal transcribed spacer 1, and 5.8S ribosomal RNA". The stretch from base 1 to 46 matches the Rfam family "Eukaryotic small subunit ribosomal RNA", at positions 1786 to 1831 of the family's 1831-position model. The record is from RNAcentral. Lineage: Eukaryota; Fungi; Basidiomycota; Agaricomycetes; Boletales; Boletaceae.